Molecule: ribosomal RNA, 497 nt
Filed under: uncultured bacterium
Lineage: Bacteria
Description: partial 16S ribosomal RNA
Rfam family: Bacterial small subunit ribosomal RNA
Source: RNAcentral
GAUGAACGCUGGCGGCGUGCCUAAUACAUGCAAGUCGAGCGAACGGACGAGAAGCUUGCUUCUCUGAUGUUAGCGGCGGACGGGUGAGUAACACGUGGAUAACCUACCUAUAAGACUGGGAUAACUUCGGGAAACCGGAGCUAAUACCGGAUAAUAUUUUGAACCGCAUGGUUCAAAAGUGAAAGACGGUCUUGCUGUCACUUAUAGAUGGAUCCGCGCUGCAUUAGCUAGUUGGUAAGGUAGCGGCUUACCAAGGCAACGAUGCAUAGCCGACCUGAGAGGGUGAUCGGCCACACUGGAACUGAGACACGGUCCAGACUCCUACGGGAGGCAGCAGUAGGGAAUCUUCCGCAAUGGGCGAAAGCCUGACGGAGCAACGCCGCGUGAGUGAUGAAGGUCUUCGGAUCGUAAAACUCUGUUAUUAGGGAAGAACAUAUGUGUAAGUAACUGUGCACGUCUUGACGGUACCUAAUCAGAAAGCCACGGCUAACUACGUG